GACGAACGCUGGCGGCGUGCCUAAUACAUGCAAGUUGAGCGCUGAAGGCUGGUACUUGUACCAACUGGAUGAGCAGCGCACGGGUGAGUAACGCGUGGGGAAUCUGCCUUUGAGCGGGGGACAACCUUUGGAAACGAAUGCUAAUACCGCAUAAAAACUUUAAACACAAGUUUUAAGUUUGAAAGAUGCAAUUGCAUCACUCAAAGAUGAUCCCGCGUUGUAUUAGCUAGUUGGUGAGGUAAAGGCUCACCAAGGCGAUGAUACAUAGCCGACCUGAGAGGGUGAUCGGCCAGAAUGGGACUGAGACACGGCCCAAACGCCUACGGGAGGCAGCAGGAGGGAAUCUUCGGCAAGGGACGGAAGGCUGACCGAGCAACGCCGCGGGAGUGAAGAAGGUUUUCGGAUCGUAAAACUCUGUUGGUAGAGAAGAACGUUGGUGAGAGUGGAAAGCUCAUUAAGUGACGGUAACUACCCAGAAAGGGACGGCUAACUACGUG
Molecule: ribosomal RNA, 497 nt
Filed under: uncultured bacterium
Lineage: Bacteria
Description: partial 16S ribosomal RNA
Rfam family: Bacterial small subunit ribosomal RNA
Source: RNAcentral